This 98-nucleotide ribosomal RNA is filed under the name bovine gut metagenome. The record is from RNAcentral.
CGUGAGGAUACCACCCGUUCCCAUCCCGAACACGGUCGUAAAGACUCAUUGCGGUAAAAAUACUUGGUGGGUGACUGCCUGGGAAGAUAACUAGUUGC